Molecule: ribosomal RNA, 247 nt
Filed under: uncultured bacterium
Lineage: Bacteria
Description: partial 16S ribosomal RNA
Rfam family: Bacterial small subunit ribosomal RNA
Source: RNAcentral
AUACGUAGGGAGCAAGCGUUGUCCGGAAUUACUGGGUGUAAAGGGAGUGUAGGCGGGAUGGUAAGUUAGGUGUGAAAACUAUGGGCUCAACCCAUAGACUGCACUUAAAACUGCUGUUCUUGAGUGAAGUAGAGGUUGGCGGAAUUCCCAGUGUAGCGGUGAAAUGCGUAGAUAUUGGGAGGAACAUCAGUGGCGAAGGCGGCCAACUGGGCUUUUACUGACGCUGAGGCUCGAAAGCGUGGGGAGC